CCUACGGGAGGCAGCAGUGGGGAAUAUUGCACAAUGGGCGCAAGCCUGAUGCAGCCAUGCCGCGUGUGUGAAGAAGGCCUUCGGGUUGUAAAGCACUUUCAGCGGGGAGGAAGGCGUUAAGGUUAAUAACCUCAUCGAUUGGCGUUACCCGCAGAAGAAGCACCGGCUAACUCCGUGCCAGCAGCCGCGGUAAUACGGAGGGUGCAAGCGUUAAUCGGAAUUACUGGGCGUAAAGCGCACGCAGGCGGUCUGUCAAGUCGGAUGUGAAAUCCCCGGGCUCAACCUGGGAACUGCAUUCGAAACUGGCAGGCUAGAGUCUUGUAGAGGGGGGUAGAAUUCCAGGUGUAGCGGUGAUAUGCGUAGAGAUCUGGAGGAAUACCGGUGGCGAAGGCGGCCCCCUGGACAAAGACUGACGCUCAGGUGCGAAAGCGUGGGGAGCAAACAGGAUUAGAUACCCCUGUAGUC
Molecule: ribosomal RNA, 465 nt
Filed under: uncultured bacterium
Lineage: Bacteria
Description: bacterial SSU rRNA
Rfam family: Bacterial small subunit ribosomal RNA
Source: RNAcentral